Molecule: ribosomal RNA, 494 nt
Filed under: uncultured bacterium
Lineage: Bacteria
Description: partial 16S ribosomal RNA
Rfam family: Bacterial small subunit ribosomal RNA
Source: RNAcentral
GACGAACGCUGGCGGCGUGCCUAAUACAUGCAAGUCGAACGGUUUAGUUCCAAGAGGCAAGACUCUUGGAACUAAGCAGUGGCGGACGGGUGAGUAACACGUAGGCAACCUACCUGUCAAACCGGGAUAACCUCGGGAAACCGAAGCUAAACCCGGAUAAGCUCCUUUUUCGCAUGAAGGGGGAGUGAAAAGGUGCGACCUGAUGACAGAUGGGCCUGCGGCGCAUUAGCUAGUAGGUAGGGUAACGGCCUACCUAGGCGAUGACGCGUAGCCGACCUGAGAGGGCGUACGGCCACACUGGGACUGAGAUACGGCCCAGACUCCUACGGGAGGCAGCAGUAGGGAAUCUUCGGCAAUGGGCGAAAGCCUGACCGAGCAACGCCGCGUGAGUGAGGAAGGCCUUCGGGUUGUAAAACUCUGUUGUUUGGGAAGAAGGGAAAGGGUAGGACCCUUUGGUGACGGUACCAAACGAGAAAGCGCCGGCUAACUACGUG